This 604-nucleotide ribosomal RNA is filed under the name uncultured archaeon. RNAcentral describes it as "bacterial SSU rRNA". It matches the Rfam family "Archaeal small subunit ribosomal RNA", at positions 69 to 678 of the family's 1478-position model. The record is from RNAcentral.
UGCAAGACCUCGGCAUACUGCUCAGUAACACGUGGACAACCUACCCUACGGAAGGGGAUAACCCCGGGAAACUGGGGAUAAUACCCUAUAGACUAUGGAUGCUGGAAUGCUCUGUAGCCGAAAGGUCCGCCGCCGUAGGAUGGGUCUGCGGCCGAUUAGGUUGUUGUUGGGGUAACGGCCCAACAAGCCUGUAAUCGGUACGGGUUGUGGGAGCAAGAGCCCGGAGAUGGAUUCUGAGACACGAAUCCAGGCCCUACGGGGCGCAGCAGGCGCGAAAACUUUGCAAUGCGGGAAACCGUGACAAGGGAACUCUGAGUGCCCGUAAAAUCGGGCUGUCCAUCGGUUUAAAAAACCGGUGAAGAAAGGGCCGGGCAAGACCGGUGCCAGCCGCCGCGGUAAUACCGGCGGCUCGAGUGGUGGCCACUAUUACUGGGCUUAAAGCGUUCGUAGCUGGUUUGUUAAGUCUCUGGGGAAAUCUUCCGGCUUAACCGGAAGGCGUCUCAGGGAUACUGGCAGACUAGGGACCGGGAGAGGUGAGAGGUACUCCAGGGGUAGGAGUGAAAUCCUGUAAUCCUUGGGGGACCACCUGUGGCGAAGGCGUCUC